Molecule: ribosomal RNA, 493 nt
Filed under: uncultured bacterium
Lineage: Bacteria
Description: bacterial SSU rRNA
Rfam family: Bacterial small subunit ribosomal RNA
Source: RNAcentral
AAUGAACGCUGGCGGCGUGGUUAAGACAUGCAAGUCGAACGGUUUUUAUUGAAGCGCAAGUGGAUAUAAAAGCAGUGGCGAACGGGUGCGUAACACGUGAACAAUCUACCUUCAAAUGGGGAAUAGCUCGCCGAAAGGCGAAUUAAUACCGCAUGUGGUUGCUUCUCGCAUGAGAGGCAUACCAAAGUCAGGGACCGCAAGGCCUGACGUUAGAAGAGGAGUUCGCGGCCCAUCAGCUAGUUGGCGAGGUAACGGCUCACCAAGGCUAAGACGGGUAGCUGGUCUGAGAGGAUGAUCCGCCACACUGGAACCGAGACACGGUCCAGACUCCUACGGGAGGCAGCAGUGGGGAAUUUUGGACAAUGGGGGCAACCCUGAUCCAGCCAUGCCGCGUGAGUGAAGAAGGCCUCGGUUGUAAGACUCUUCGCCGGGUAGAAAGUACGUAUGGGUUAUACCUCGUGCGGAUGACAGUACCGGCGACUAAGAAGACACC